RNAcentral lists this long non-coding RNA (218 nucleotides) under Nicotiana benthamiana. Its description in RNAcentral is "long non-coding RNA (NBEN_LNC000556)". The record is from RNAcentral. Lineage: Eukaryota; Viridiplantae; Streptophyta; Magnoliopsida; Solanales; Solanaceae.
GCCCAAGCAUAUAUAGAAUAUCGCGAGCAUGAAUUUAGCAAAUUUUCUUUCCUCAUCACCAGAUCAAAUUUUUUACCUCCUGAGAUGAGAUUAAAUGAAGAGUCAACGAGAAUUCAUAUAGCCAACCCAAUUAGUUUAACUUGUCUAGUAUUGAACCAUAGUUGUUAUUAUGUGAAUAACUUCUUGAACUUACAAAUAGAUGAUGACUUGAAGGAAUG